Molecule: ribosomal RNA, 241 nt
Filed under: uncultured bacterium
Lineage: Bacteria
Description: partial 16S ribosomal RNA
Rfam family: Bacterial small subunit ribosomal RNA
Source: RNAcentral
GGGGGAGGCAAAUCCCAAAAAUAACGUCCCAGUUCGGACUGUAGUCUGCAACCCGACUACACGAAGCUGGAAUCGCUAGUAAUCGCGAAUCAGAAUGUCGCGGUGAAUACGUUCCCGGGUCUUGUACACACCGCCCGUCACACCAUGGGAGUCGGGAAUGCCCGAAGUCAGUGACCCAACCUAUAGGAGGGAGCUGCCGAAGGCAGGUCUGAUAACUGGGGUGAAGUCGUAACAAGGUACC